UUUGUAUCUUCAACACAGCAUCACUACUCGAUGAAAUGGAUUCUCUGUCUGAUUACGAGCAAACAACUGAAAACACCGCAAUCGUUUUUAGGUGAAAAUUCGUCAUAAGUUUUGUUGAAUAAUCUAAUAAAUCCCGUGCAAACGCAGUCACAAGCUGGCAGUGCUGCCUACAGUCCAUUUAGCGAUACUGUUAUACCAUCAAAAACAAAUCUAUUCCUACAACAACAGCCUGAGGUACCGUCCAUUAACCAGCUCAAACAGCAAAAGAGUUUUGCUAUGACUAUCAAUCAGGAUCUCCACUAAUGCGUCUCAG
Molecule: non-coding RNA, 313 nt
Organism: Bactrocera oleae (olive fruit fly)
Lineage: Eukaryota; Metazoa; Arthropoda; Insecta; Diptera; Tephritidae
Source: RefSeq, a predicted model, not a curated record